GAGCGUCCUUGGGCGCGAUGGAGCUCUACCGCCUCAGCGUAUCGAAGUGAUUCGACAGUGCGGAGAGAUCAGUUGUAGAGCAGCUGAUCUGCGGCUUCGGUGCAGGGUCCUUGCCCGCCUACCAUCGCGGGACACGCUGCAAGUACGUCCCUGUAGGGAGUUUUGGUUGUCUGGACGUGACUGGAGAGUGCGGAUAAAUCAGGUGUAGAGCGGCUGAUCUGCAGCUUUGCUGCAGGGCAUGACGUGCUUCUAAUUGGCCAGCUAUCGUGUUCUGCGAACCAUGCCAGCAAGCCUGCGCAACGUGCGAGACCACCAGCUUUCUAUCCGGCUACCGACCAACGUCCUGGUGCGGUGCCCUUACCGCUUGCGGGACCGUGUGGCGGCAUGGA
RNAcentral lists this small RNA (389 nucleotides) under Xanthomonas campestris pv. campestris. Its description in RNAcentral is "ncRNA of unknown function". The record is from RNAcentral. Lineage: Bacteria; Pseudomonadati; Pseudomonadota; Gammaproteobacteria; Lysobacterales; Lysobacteraceae.